GACGAACGCUGGCGGCGUGCUUAACACAUGCAAGUCGAGCGAGGAAAUUCUUUCGGGAAUUUCCUAGCGGCGGACGGGUGAGUAACACGUGGGCAACCUGCCUGAUAGAGGGGGAUAGCCUCCCGAAAGGGAGAUUAAUACCGCAUAAAGUCAAAUGAAGGCAUCUUCAAAUGACCAAAGGAGUAAUCCGCUAUCAGAUGGGCCCGCGGCGCAUUAGCUAGUUGGUGAGGUAACGGCUCACCAAGGCGACGAUGCGUAGCCGACCUGAGAGGGUGAUCGGCCACAUUGGGACUGAGACACGGCCCAGACUCCUACGGGAGGCAGCAGUGGGGAAUAUUGCACAAUGGGGGAAACCCUGAUGCAGCAACGCCGCGUGAGUGAUGAAGGCCUUCGGGUUGUAAAGCUCUGUCUUCAGGGACGAUAAUGACGGUACCUGAGGAGGAAGCCACGGCUAACUACGUG
This 462-nucleotide ribosomal RNA is filed under the name uncultured organism. Its description in RNAcentral is "bacterial SSU rRNA". It matches the Rfam family "Bacterial small subunit ribosomal RNA", at positions 28 to 507 of the family's 1533-position model. The record is from RNAcentral.